This 92-nucleotide transfer RNA is filed under the name bacterium. RNAcentral's name for it is "tRNA-Ser". It matches the Rfam family "tRNA". From Rfam's summary of the family: Transfer RNA (tRNA) molecules are approximately 80 nucleotides in length. Their secondary structure includes four short double-helical elements and three loops (D, anti-codon, and T loops). Further hydrogen bonds mediate the characteristic L-shaped molecular structure. tRNAs have two regions of fundamental functional importance: the anti-codon, which is responsible for specific mRNA codon recognition, and the 3' end, to which the tRNAs corresponding amino acid is attached (by aminoacyl-tRNA synthetases). tRNAs cope with the degeneracy of the genetic code in two manners: having more than one tRNA (with a specific anti-codon) for a particular amino acid; and 'wobble' base-pairing, i.e. permitting non-standard base-pairing at the 3rd anti-codon position. RNAcentral also lists the same sequence under 1 other name. The record is from RNAcentral.
GGAGAGGUGGCCGAGCGGCUGAAGGCAGCGGUUUGCUAAACCGUCGUAGGGGUAAAACUCUACCGGGGGUUCGAAUCCCCCCCUCUCCGCCA